RNAcentral lists this ribosomal RNA (465 nucleotides) under uncultured bacterium. Its description in RNAcentral is "partial 16S ribosomal RNA". It matches the Rfam family "Bacterial small subunit ribosomal RNA", at positions 28 to 507 of the family's 1533-position model. The record is from RNAcentral.
GACGAACGCUGGCGGCGUGCUUAACACAUGCCAGUCGAACGGAAAGGCCCUGCUUGCAGGGUACUCGAGUGGCGAACGGGUGAGUAACACGUGGGUGAUCUGCCCUGCACUUCGGGAUAAGCCUGGGAAACUGGGUCUAAUACCGGAUAGGAGCCAUUUUUAGUGUGAUGGUUGGAAAGUUUUUUCGGUGUAGGAUGAGCUCGCGGCCUAUCAGCUUGGUGGUGGGGUAAUGGCCUACCAAGGCGGCGACGGGUAGCCGGCCUGAGAGGGUGGACGGCCACAGUGGGACUGAGAUACGGCCCAGACUCCUACGGGAGGCAGCAGUGGGGAAUAUUGCACAAUGGGCGCAAGCCUGAUGCAGCGACGCCGCGUGGGGGAUGACGGCCUUCGGGUUGUAAACUCCUUUCGCUAGGGACGAAGCUUUUUGUGACGGUACCUAGAUAAGAAGCACCGGCUAACUACGUG